UACGAAGGGGGCUAGCGUUUGUCGGAAUUACUGGGCGUAAAGAGCACGUAGGCGGCUCUGUAAGUUGGGGGUGAAAUCCCGAGGCUCAACCUCGGAAUUGCCUUCAAGACUGCAGGGCUUGAGUUCGGUAGAGGUGAGUGGAAUUCCCAGUGUAGAGGUGAAAUUCGUAGAGAUUGGGAAGAACACCAGUGGCGAAGGCGGCUCGCUGGCCCGUAACUGACGCUGAGGUGCGAAAGCGUGGGGAGCAAACAGG
This 253-nucleotide ribosomal RNA is filed under the name uncultured bacterium. RNAcentral describes it as "partial 16S ribosomal RNA". It matches the Rfam family "Bacterial small subunit ribosomal RNA", at positions 524 to 776 of the family's 1533-position model. The record is from RNAcentral.